GCCGGAAUAGCUCAGCUGGGAGAGCAGUAGACUGAAGCUCUUGACAGUGCGUAUUCUAAAGGUCGGGUGUUCGAGCCACCCUUCUGGCA
This is a non-coding RNA of Irpex rosettiformis, 89 nucleotides long. NCBI's taxonomy places the organism in Eukaryota, Fungi, Basidiomycota, Agaricomycetes, Polyporales, Irpicaceae. The record is from the annotation of a GenBank genome assembly.